Long non-coding RNA from Vidua chalybeata, 412 nucleotides. RefSeq lists it as uncharacterized. Lineage: Eukaryota; Metazoa; Chordata; Aves; Passeriformes; Viduidae. The record is from RefSeq and is a predicted model, not a curated record. The transcript has 3 exons.
GUGGAAUGGUAGCACCUGGCUCCUGCUCGCCCUCAGGUGAACACCAGGUGACAGAUGGACUUACAAAUGUGCAACUCGUCACCAGGGCCAGAGUGACCCUGCCCAUUAGCAGUGCUGCGUGCAAGGUGUCUUUGGGGGCAGCAGCUCUCAGCUUGGUGCUGAGUUCACUUCCCACCUGGUACCUGGAUGCUCUGGCAUCUCUUCCAAGCAAAAUUUUGGGACUAAAAUACCUGGAGAAAAAGAGAACUCCAAACUCAUCAGCCCCAGGGCUUCUCUGCUUCCCACUGAUUGAGGAGAACAUUUUUCCCCUGUUCCAAGCCAGGCUGAAGACAGCCUGUGUGGUUUCAUCUAAUCUGCUCCUGGAACUGCCACCACCACGUUGGAUAGCUGGGAUUUGGAAUGUUAACCACGG